GUGAUCCUCAUCACAAGGGGGUUACAAGUUUGACGCUUGACAAGCUAGGUGGAGGCUUGGAAAGGAAGCGGGUCAAACGAAGUAAAUAAGAAGUAAAAGCAUGUUUCGGAUGCAAGGAGCGAAUAGUAAUUGGGAUAAUUGCGUCGCCAUAGAAUAUCGGUAAUAAAAGCAAGGUGUCGAAACGGGUCACUAGGUU
Long non-coding RNA from Helianthus annuus (common sunflower), 196 nucleotides. RefSeq lists it as uncharacterized. The record is from RefSeq and is a predicted model, not a curated record. NCBI's taxonomy places the organism in Eukaryota, Viridiplantae, Streptophyta, Magnoliopsida, Asterales, Asteraceae. The transcript has 3 exons.